Long non-coding RNA from Jaculus jaculus (lesser Egyptian jerboa), 448 nucleotides. RefSeq lists it as uncharacterized. The transcript is spliced from 3 exons. The record is from RefSeq and is a predicted model, not a curated record. NCBI's taxonomy places the organism in Eukaryota, Metazoa, Chordata, Mammalia, Rodentia, Dipodidae.
GUUGAAAGUUGAUUGUCAUUGGAGGUUGCCAGCAAGGGGUGACAAAGUUCUCCAGUGGACUUGAAGCCUUUGCCCCAGGACUGGAUUCGUCUCUAUAAGAGGAUGCUCACAACUCCGCCCAUAGGCCUGUGGUGCGGCUCCCACUUGGAAGGAAAGAAGUUGAGACUCUCACAGGUUGGGUGUCUAAGAUUCUACCGCCUGCCAGUGGAAAGCUGAGACCAGCCCCCAUGCUCUCUGGAAAUGGAGAGAAAAAGCAGAGGGAAGAGCAAACGUUCAAGAAGGCAUGCCGCCAUUUGAUUCUGUUGCCCAUUUUGUCCUCACCCCUCCUUCUAGACUUAGACACUGUUGUACAAACCAAGAUGUGGUUCUCCAUCUUCUGAGCACCUGGACAGUACAAGAUGUCGAUUUCAUUGGCAUCUUUAAGCAGCUCUGAGUGAUCCAUCUGGAC